This 499-nucleotide long non-coding RNA is filed under the name Phoenix dactylifera (date palm). RNAcentral describes it as "long non-coding RNA (PDAC_LNC000581)". The record is from RNAcentral. Lineage: Eukaryota; Viridiplantae; Streptophyta; Magnoliopsida; Arecales; Arecaceae.
UUGAACAAAGGGUAAUUAUUCAUGUGGAUAUGAUGGAAACUUCCGGGGCGGGCAGACAUGUUUCAGCAUCGGUGAAGGAUGAGAUUGUCAGCUUAAAUAGAAAGAUAACCAAAUAAGCCGACUGACGGGAUUGCCAUGGAAAUGUUUCAGAUUGGACUUUCAAGCUAUUAAUGGAUAACCAGCCGCAGUUGUGCAUUCUGAUUCAAUAAUUUGGUCACAGAUGCUAACCCAGUGAUGGUUAGCCGCUAAACAGCAUCAUGCCUAGGGGUGCAAUCAAGCCAAGUCUGAGUCAAAUGGCUAAAGGCUUCAACUAGACUCGAUUUAAAAACUUGAGCUUGACACUCAACUUGAGAUGGAUCAAGCAUUAAUGGUUAAGUUGAAGCUCCACUCGGUAAUAAAAAGAAUAAUACUCGAGAUCUAUUUUUCCCGGCUCAAAUAUUAAUCAAGCCAUACUUGCGCUCAAAUUCGAGCCCAGGUCAUAAUUCAAAUAAUAAUAAUA